Mauremys reevesii (Reeves's turtle) is the source of this 1020-nucleotide long non-coding RNA. RefSeq lists it as uncharacterized. The record is from RefSeq and is a predicted model, not a curated record. Lineage: Eukaryota; Metazoa; Chordata; Testudines; Geoemydidae. The transcript is spliced from 5 exons.
CAGCUGGGUUAGCCCCUUCCUGUGCCCUUCAAUACCGAGUCGGGUAGCAACACUCACAGGGACUGUGUCAGGCUGGAAGGAGCCGCCUUGUUCCCACAGAGCCGGGAAGAGAACCCAGAUGUCACAAGCGUGUCUGACCUGUCUGAGGAAAGAGAGAGAAGAAAGCAAAACUUAUAGGGAGAGGAAAAGCAAAGAGCCACUGGGGCUGGUGACCUUCGAGGAGGUGGCUGUGCAUUUCACCCGGGGCAGGGGGCUCUGCUGGACCCCGGUCAGAGAGCCCUCUACCGGGACAUCAUGCAGGAGAAUUACGAGACAGUGACCUCACUAUGGCAUCUGAUUUCUAAGCCCAACAUGAUGUCCCAGCAGGAGCGAGGGGAAGACCCGGGCCUCCAGAACUCAGAGAAAAGGGAGAGUCCAGGGGGCACCUGCACAGCAAGUGACUUGACAGUGGCUGAGAACAAGGAGGAGAAUUCUCAGCAGGAGGGCCCUGAGCCAGUGGAGCUGCAUGGGACAGUGUCAAUAAAAUCCAAGAGGAAUGUGUCCCUAAGCCCUGAAUGGGGGGAAUUGCACAGGAUGUCAUCAGUAAAGACGCGAAGGGAACGCUUCACAGAGUUGUGAGCAGGAAAAAGUCUGUGAAUCUCAGUGUGGAUCAGAAAGGCUGCAAGGAAACCAGCUGGGGACAAGUCAGGAUAAACCCACUCAUGGCGUGGGAGGUUUGAAGGAACUCAACAAAAGUGUAACCUAGCCGAGCAACCCAGUGGGAGGGAGACCCCACAGGUGCGCUGAGUGUGGGAAAAGCUUUAGUUGCAACUUAUGCCUUUACAGGCACCGGAGAACCCACACGGGCGAGAAGCCUUACAAGCAGGGCUUUGUAGUGGAGCCCAGAGCUGAAGCAUGGAGCAGCUCCAGAGAAAUGGAGCUGCAGGUUUUUGCCUGGAGCUGGAGCGGAGCCGGAGCACAGCUCCAAAGCCCUGCUUACAAGUGCCCCAACUGUGAGAAAAGAUUCUGCAGCAGCUAGAC